GAUGAACGCUGGCGGCGUGCCUAAUACAUGCAAGUCGAACGAAACUUCUUUAUCACCGAGUGCUUGCACUCACCGAUAAAGAGUUGAGUGGCGAACGGGUGAGUAACACGUGGGCAACCUGCCCAAAAGAGGGGGAUAACACUUGGAAACAGGUGCUAAUACCGCAUAACCAUAGUUACCGCAUGGUAACUAUGUAAAAGGUGGCUAUACUACCGCUUUUGGAUGGGCCCGCGGCGCAUUAGCUAGUUGGUAGGGUAAAGGCUUACCAAGGCAAUGAUGCGUAGCCGAAUUGAGAGGUUGAUCGGCCACAGUGGGACUGAGACACGGCCCAAACUCCUACGGGAGGCAGCAGUAGGGAAUCUUCCACAAUGGGCGAAAGCCUGAUGGAGCAACGCCGCGUGGGUGAAGAAGGUCUUCGGAUCGUAAAACCCUGUUGUUAGAGAAGAAAGUGCGUGAGAGUAACUGUUCACGUUUCGACGGUAUCUAACCAGAAAGCCACGGCUAACUACGUG
RNAcentral lists this ribosomal RNA (512 nucleotides) under uncultured bacterium. Its description in RNAcentral is "partial 16S ribosomal RNA". It matches the Rfam family "Bacterial small subunit ribosomal RNA", at positions 28 to 507 of the family's 1533-position model. The record is from RNAcentral.